GGGUUGUGAGGUUAAGCGACUAAGCGUACACGGUGGAUGCCCUGGCAGUCAGAGGCGAUGAAGGACGUGCUAAUCUGCGAAAAGCGUCGGUAAGGUGAUAUGAACCGUUAUAACCGGCGAUGUCCGAAUGGGGAAACCCAGUGCAAUUCGUUGCACUAUCGUUAACUGAAUACAUAGGUUAACGAGGCGAACCGGGGGAACUGAAACAUCUAAGUACCCCGAGGAAAAGAAAUCAACCGAGAUUCCCCCAGUAGCGGCGAGCGAACGGGGAGCAGCCCAGAGUCUGAAUCAGCUUGUGUGUUAGUGGAACGGUCUGGAAAGUCCGACGGUACAGGGUGAUAGUCCCGUACACCAAAAUGCACAGGCUGUGAACUCGAAGAGUAGGGCGGGACACGUGGUAUCCUGUCUGAAUAUGGGGGGACCAUCCUCCAAGGCUAAAUACUCCUGACUGACCGAUAGUGAACCAGUACCGUGAGGGAAAGGCGAAAAGAACCCCGGCGAGGGGAGUGAAAAAGAACCUGAAACCGUGUACGUACAAGCAGUGGGAGCACCUUCGGGUGUGACUGCGUACCUUUUGUAUAAUGGGUCAGCGACUUAUAUUCUGUAGCAAGGUUAACCGUAUAGGGGAGCCGCAGGGAAACCGAGUCUUAACUGGGCGUUAAGUUGCAGGGUAUAGACCCGAAACCCGGUGAUCUAGCCAUGGGCAGGUUGAAGGUUGGGUAACACUAACUGGAGGACCGAACCGACUAAUGUUGAAAAAUUAGCGGAUGACUUGUGGCUGGGGGUGAAAGGCCAAUCAAACCGGGAGAUAGCUGGUUCUCCCCGAAAGCUAUUUAGGUAGCGCCUCGUGAACUCAUCUUCGGGGGUAGAGCACUGUUUCGGCUAGGGGGUCAUCCCGACUUACCAACCCGAUGCAAACUACGAAUACCGAAGAAUGUUAUCACGGGAGACACACGGCGGGUGCUAACGUCCGUCGUGAAGAGGGAAACAACCCAGACCGCCAGCUAAGGUCCCAAAGUCAUGGUUAAGUGGGAAACGAUGUGGGAAGGCACAGACAGCCAGGAUGUUGGCUUAGAAGCAGCCAUCAUUUAAAGAAAGCGUAAUAGCUCACUGGUCGAGUCGGCCUGCGCGGAAGAUGUAACGGGGCUAAACCAUGCACCGAAGCUGCGGCAGCGACACUAUGUGUUGUUGGGUAGGGGAGCGUUCUGUAAGCCUGCGAAGGUGUGCUGUGAGGCAUGCUGGAGGUAUCAGAAGUGCGAAUGCUGACAUAAGUAACGAUAAAGCGGGUGAAAAGCCCGCUCGCCGGAAGACCAAGGGUUCCUGUCCAACGUUAAUCGGGGCAGGGUGAGUCGACCCCUAAGGCGAGGCCGAAAGGCGUAGUCGAUGGGAAACAGGUUAAUAUUCCUGUACUUGGUGUUACUGCGAAGGGGGGACGGAGAAGGCUAUGUUAGCCGGGCGACGGUUGUCCCGGUUUAAGCAUGUAGGCUGAUUGUCCAGGCAAAUCCGGAUAAUCAAGGCUGAGGUGUGAUGACGAGGCACUACGGUGCUGAAGUAACAAAUGCCCUGCUUCCAGGAAAAGCCUCUAAGC
This 1588-nucleotide ribosomal RNA is filed under the name Klebsiella pneumoniae. Its description in RNAcentral is "partial 23S ribosomal RNA". It matches the Rfam family "Bacterial large subunit ribosomal RNA", at positions 1 to 1629 of the family's 2925-position model. Lineage: Bacteria; Pseudomonadati; Pseudomonadota; Gammaproteobacteria; Enterobacterales; Enterobacteriaceae. The record is from RNAcentral.